Pleurotus ostreatus PC15 is the source of this 79-nucleotide transfer RNA. It matches the Rfam family "tRNA". Rfam says of the family: Transfer RNA (tRNA) molecules are approximately 80 nucleotides in length. Their secondary structure includes four short double-helical elements and three loops (D, anti-codon, and T loops). Lineage: Eukaryota; Fungi; Basidiomycota; Agaricomycetes; Agaricales; Pleurotaceae. The record is from Rfam.
UCCGAUAUGGUGUAACGGCUAACAUUGCCGCCUUUCAAAGUGAUCGCGGCAGCUCGGGGUUCGAUUCCCCGUGUCGGAA